This 495-nucleotide ribosomal RNA is filed under the name uncultured bacterium. RNAcentral's name for it is "partial 16S ribosomal RNA". It matches the Rfam family "Bacterial small subunit ribosomal RNA", at positions 29 to 506 of the family's 1533-position model. The record is from RNAcentral.
AUGAACGCUGGCGGCGUGCCUAAUACAUGCAAGUCGAGCGAACGGACGAGAAGCUUGCUUCUCUGAUGUUAGCGGCGGACGGGUGAGUAACACGUGGAUAACCUACCUAUAAGACUGGGAUAACUUCGGGAAACCGGAGCUAAUACCGGAUAAUAUUUUGAACCGCAUGGUUCAAAAGUGAAAGACGGUCUUGCUGUCACUUAUAGAUGGAUCCGCGCUGCAUUAGCUAGUUGGUAAGGUAACGGCUUACCAAGGCAACGAUGCAUAGCCGACCUGAGAGGGUGAUCGGCCACACUGGAACUGAGACACGGUCCAGACUCCUACGGGAGGCAGCAGUAGGGAAUCUUCCGCAAUGGGCGAAAGCCUGACGGAGCAACGCCGCGUGAGUGAUGAAGGUCUGCGGAUCGUAAAACUCUGUUAUUAGGGAAGAACAUAUGUGUAAGUAACUGUGCACAUCUUGACGGUACCUAAUCAGAAAGCCACGGCUAACUACGU